Molecule: ribosomal RNA, 375 nt
Filed under: Triticum aestivum (bread wheat)
Lineage: Eukaryota; Viridiplantae; Streptophyta; Magnoliopsida; Poales; Poaceae
Description: partial small subunit ribosomal RNA
Source: RNAcentral
AUGGAAGAUCCAAGUGUGUUGCUGGAACGACUGCAUCUGCAGGAUGACGAGCGGGAUAAUCUUGUCUGGAAGGAUGAGGCGGAGGAUCCAGAGGAGAAACCGAAGUGGCUUGCGCUGGCUAGGGUUCUGACCACAAAAUCCUUUGGUCAGGGGGCCUUGAUCGCAGACAUGAAAGCGGCAUGGAAUCCCACGAGGGAUGUAGUCUGGAGAAGGAUAAAUUCCAACCUUAUCUCGAUACAGUUCAAUUGUCUGGCGGAUUGGAAUAAGGCGUUGCACCAGGUUCCUUGGGACUUCAAGGCGAUGGCUUUGAUCAUAGCAGAAUAUGAUGGUUUGAAGAACCCGGAAUAUGUCAAGUUGGACAAGAUCGAAACUUGA